AAAUUGAAGAGUUUGAUCAUGGCUCAGAUUGAACGCUGGCGGCAGGCCUAACACAUGCAAGUCGAACGGUAACAGAAAGCAGCUUGCUGCUUUGCUGACGAGUGGCGGACGGGUGAGUAAUGUCUGGGAAACUGCCUGAUGGAGGGGGAUAACUACUGGAAACGGUAGCUAAUACCGCAUAACGUCGCAAGACCAAAGAGGGGGACCUUAGGGCCUCUUGCCAUCGGAUGUGCCCAGAUGGGAUUAGCUAGUAGGUGGGGUAACGGCUCACCUAGGCGACGAUCCCUAGCUGGUCUGAGAGGAUGACCAGCCACACUGGAACUGAGACACGGUCCAGACUCCUACGGGAGGCAGCAGUGGGGAAUAUUGCACAAUGGGCGCAAGCCUGAUGCAGCCAUGCCGCGUGUAUGAAGAAGGCCUUCGGGUUGUAAAGUACUUUCAGCGGGGAGGAAGGGAGUAAAGUUAAUACCUUUGCUC
Molecule: ribosomal RNA, 477 nt
Filed under: Escherichia coli
Lineage: Bacteria; Pseudomonadati; Pseudomonadota; Gammaproteobacteria; Enterobacterales; Enterobacteriaceae
Description: bacterial SSU rRNA
Rfam family: Bacterial small subunit ribosomal RNA
Source: RNAcentral